RNAcentral lists this ribosomal RNA (236 nucleotides) under uncultured bacterium. RNAcentral describes it as "partial 16S ribosomal RNA". It matches the Rfam family "Bacterial small subunit ribosomal RNA", at positions 100 to 334 of the family's 1533-position model. The record is from RNAcentral.
CGGGACGGGUGAGUAACGCGUGGGUAACCUGCCUCAUACAGGGGGAUAACAGUUAGAAAUGGCUGCUAAUACCGCAUAAGACCACAGCACCGCAUGGUGCAGGGGUAAAAACUCCGGUGGUAUGAGAUGGACCCGCGUCUGAUUAGCUAGUUGGUGGGGCAACGGCCUACCAAGGCGACGAUCAGUAGCCGACCUGAGAGGGUGACCGGCCACAUUGGGACUGAGACACGGCCCAA